AGCAAGCGCGAUCUGCCGGUGCCUUGGCGGUCUGGCGUGCAGACAGACGUUCUCGGGGACGUCUAGAUGGAGAAAGUGCCCGGCGCCGUUGCUCCUUGUGCGUGUGAACGGAGACGACCUCAGCCCGUGACGGUCUCAGUUUGCGGAGCGCUUCACUCGCGUGAAAGAAACCACGUACAGAGGUCUGGACGUUGGCCAUGGUUUUCCCUACCCCACCACAGUGCACUUGACAGACUCUAGGAAGAACAGUCAACAGAAACCAAAGAAAGUUCUCCAAUGAGGCCAUAAGGCUCCCAGGGGAAGCGGCACUGGAAGUAGGACGCCCAGGUUGAAGGCUUAACGGAUAAGGUGAUUGUGAAAAGAAGCGUCCAGGGAUAAAGACAGUUUCAGGCAGAGAAGGGCGAAUAGAAACCUGAGCCAGGUGUGACUGUAAUUCCAGCCCUCCAGGCUGAGGCAGGAUGACAAGUGAGUUCCAGGCCAGCCUCGGGUACAUAGUCUUACCUGUCUCAAAACAAAAGGAGAACGAUUAGGCAGGAACAUGGAGAUUGAAAACAUACAGCCGGACAGGCUAGUGAAGAUCUUAGAAUCCCAGCUGGCGGGAGACCUACGGUAGAAUCCCAAAAGAGAAGAAAGAAGGCAGAGUGCACUGUGGACCAGAGAAGGGCAUUGCCAGAAACAGAGGGUCCAUAGAGGUUCGGCUGAAGCCCUUGCUACCUGGCUGGAGACCCUCAGUUUUAAUCAUAGUGGAUGCAGCUGAAACCUUUUGUGCUUCUCUUUGGGGCACCAUUCUUCUCAAGACUAGUAGGCAUUAGGUGUGUCUGAAAGAAUCAAAGGUGCUUUAUCUAUGGUGACUGAACUCUACUUGUCCCUCCAAGAAGUUGAAAGCUGUCCAGACAUGGUGGUACAUGCCUGCAAUCUCAG
Molecule: long non-coding RNA, 921 nt
Filed under: Cricetulus griseus (Chinese hamster)
Lineage: Eukaryota; Metazoa; Chordata; Mammalia; Rodentia; Cricetidae
Description: lncRNA (ENSCGRG00015025313.2)
Source: RNAcentral